GACAUUUCAUCGAGCAUAUAAGACAAAUGCCCAACUUCAAACUAAGAACUCAUCCAAUAGAGAUCCACACAAACCAAUAAUAAGAGUGUGUACAUGACAAGAAAAAGAAUGCACAUAUAUCAAAUUUGACAAGUAGCACAAAGUCAAGUUCGAUGUAACUAAAUGAAAAUUCCCACAAACCAUUGACAUAAACAAAUAACUAAAGAGUUUAAGCAAAUCAUUUUUACCUCCAUAACACACUUUUCAAUGUAAAGGCUUCUCCUUCUUUGAUUACUCAAAGGGAUCCCCUUUGCUGAGUGGACAUCAUUAGGGGAAAUUUGUUGGUCAUGAUUUUACGAUCCCGGGGAAAAUUAGGCAACUUCCGGACUUCAAUAAUGGUUAAAUCCAAGUCACCGUAAAGGUAAACCACUUGCUUCAACACUUCUUUCACCAUUUUUAAAGCAGCUCACUAUUAAAAAAAAAUCGUAGAGAAGAACAAAAGACAAAAGGAAAGGUCUUCGAAGUUGCAGGCGACGAUGGGGGAUUUGGGUGUUAAACGAAAAGCCAAUACAUUGUUGAUUUUAGUGAAUUAAAAAGUGGGUUGACCUUGAUUUUGGCUUUCAUGAAGUCGAUAAAAAUGAAAAAUGGCAACCAUGUGAAGCUGCAAGGCUAUAACUACAGU
This 661-nucleotide long non-coding RNA is filed under the name Gossypium raimondii (Peruvian cotton). Its description in RNAcentral is "long non-coding RNA (GRAI_LNC010732)". Lineage: Eukaryota; Viridiplantae; Streptophyta; Magnoliopsida; Malvales; Malvaceae. The record is from RNAcentral.